CCCGUAUUAACGCCCAGCACUCGGGGGGGUCUUCAGCACAGGAAGGCUACGACAAUGAACAGAUCAGCUCCAGUGAUGCAUAGAAGAAAGGCCCGCGAGGCGACUUAUUCGGGAUUUAAAAUAGCCAGAUAGAGUUGCUGGACAAACGACUCGAUCCGGUUUAAUCCGAGCGUCCGUAUCGGAAACACUUGACUCUCGACUCUCGGCUCGAUAUGACCCGCCCUCCCUGGUGUGUUGUGUAUUAAACGUGGAUUUGUCCAGUUCUCCCUGUAGAUGUGACCCGUACAUGUAAUACUCAGCUCUGACACGACUGUAUGACAAUAACUGACCCGGCGAUCGGCUCUGCCGCAUGUUAACCGCCUGCCUCGGGCUGGUCUGCUUAUAUUCGAGUGACUGACCGGAGGGAGGCUAAUAAUCCGCUUUGGCCUCAAGUCUGUCACCUUGAGAGAAUAAAGAUGGGGGCGGGGGGGGGGGUGCAUAUCACACACACACACACACACACACACUAUGCUGACAUGUCAGCAAGGUGAUCAUUAAACUAAAUUUGCAUGGCAUCGUGUGUGAUCAAGCUGUCACUUUGCUGUCUACACACUUAUGAGAUUCUCACACACACACACACACACACACACACACACUAUCCGUCCAUCAAGUGCUGUUUGGUGUUAACCCGAUGACACUGAAUAUUUUAAUGAACCAUGUCUCAUUACAUGUUAAUGGAUCUUAUCGCAUUAAUAUAGCGACAUCACAGUAAGACGCCAGUUUUCCUUUCGGGAGUCAGCUGACAUCACCGACGUGGCUAACGACUUACUCGAGAUGAUGUAAGCGUUAUCAUUGAAUCCUCCAUUCUGAUUGGUCAGGAGUCAGUCAGACUCUGAAUGUCGGUCCAGCAGCGAUCAUGGGUAUAUGCGAAACUGCGGGACAUUGGAACUCGUACAGUUUUCUACUGAGAAGAAAUGGGACUGAUGUCUUCACGUGAACCUUUUUGACCAGAACGCUGCAGUUCCCAUCUGCCAGCGGAGUAGAAACCGACUUUUCAAUCAGCGUAAACAAAUGAAUUAUUUUCUCAGCACAAGUCCGGACUCUGUGUGUUUUAGACCUGUGUUUUUCCCUCUUACACAGAAUUCCCCUGGUUGAAGAUCAAAUCUGAGCGGCUUUUUAGAUGAAAAAGCACUUGGAGCAUCUCAGAGAGCAGCAAUGGGAUUGAUAUCAACAUUUACUUUGAAGAUACCAACAGUUUCUGUGGAAAAAUCAACCAGUUGAUUCGUUGUGUACCUUCUUUAUGAUGGUAGAAAGAAUUAUAUCACCCCAAACCUCCAACACCCAAAGUCCUGCCUCGCCUCGGGCCUGCGCCGUGAGCUAAAAACAAAAGGAGCCAACAGAAAAGAAAGAGAGAGAGAGAGAGAGAGAGAGAGAGAGAGAGAGAGAGUAAGCAGCCAUGCAUUCGUGAGAGAGCAGAAACAAAGCUUUGUUUGUGUGCCUCAAUCAGUCGUGCUCGUGAAAGCAGACACUUAUGAGAGAGAGAAAAUCUCCCCCUUUUAUAUAUAUAUAAAAAACAACAACAUGGGUAUAAAUUAAAAUAAAAAAGAAAAAGAAAAAGAGUAAACGUAAUACAGGCUGGAUUCUGUUUGCCCUGAAUGUGACAAGAAUAAGAAUUACUAUUAAUCAACAUAGAAACCCCCCCAAGCACACACACACACACACACACACACACACGGCCUACAUCUAAUGUACAAUAAAUCCACAAAGGGGCCCCUGAGCGCCUCCUACAUAUAUACACAGAGGCUCCUGUUAUCCCGUCAUUUUGCCUUUCAUUCCUGCCCUUCUUUUUUUACAGUACGAAAGUAAAGGAACAGAGAAAGUCCCUUCGCCCGGCUCGCGUCUCGGAAACCCAAACCCGGCACCCGCUGUGACCCGUGCGAAUUCAAACCCAGAUCGAUAAGGAGAUUUCUUCCGUUCCGCCUCUUUUUUUUUUGUUGUUGUUGUUGGCGAGCGAGGUGAAGGGGAGGGGAAUAAAGUUACAAGUGUGCAUCGUAGGCCUGAAAGGCAGUGUGGGAAAAAGCGGCCUUGGCAGGGAGACGGGGUCAGUGGCGAGCCCGCCGCACCAGGUGUCCCCCCUGCAUUCAGACGAUACGCUCAUUCAUAGAGCGAGCGCAGAGUAUUAAAACUCAGAAUUUGCAACUGAAUGCUGAUAUAAUCCUGGAAAUAUAUGUCUCCAUUAAGCGCGCUCCCAUUAAGCGCACAAGGAAGCCUUUGUGCUGGGGCUUUAUGUAUAUUUAUCAAGGUUUUAAA
Long non-coding RNA from Hemibagrus wyckioides, 2289 nucleotides. RefSeq lists it as uncharacterized. The transcript is spliced from 5 exons. Lineage: Eukaryota; Metazoa; Chordata; Actinopteri; Siluriformes; Bagridae. The record is from RefSeq and is a predicted model, not a curated record.